UGCCAAUCUCCCUCUAUGUUACGUGGGAUGUCGCCAUAGCUAACAUCUGUGCCAAUCUCCCUCUAUGUUAUGUGGGAUGUCGCCAUAGCUAACAUCUGUGCCAAUCUCCCUCUAUGUUAUGUGGGAUGUCGCCACAGCUAACAUCUGUGCCAAUCUCCCUCUGUGUUAUGUGGGAUGUCGCCACAGCGUGGCUUGACGAGUGGUGCUAGGUCUGUGCCCGGGAUCCAAACCUACGAACCCUGGGCCUCCAAAGCAGAGCGUACAAACUUAACCACUAUGCCACCAAGGUGGCCCCGGGACUUAUUUUUCUUAAUAGACAAGUUCUGUAUUGGCUGUUUUCAGGUAAUAAAUACGUCUAAAAAAUGCAUUCAAGGGCCAGCCCUGAUGGCCUGGUGGUUAAAGUUCUGCAUGCUCCACUUUGGCAGCCUGGGUUCGGUUCUUGGGCGCAGAACCACACCACUCGACUGUCAGUAGCCAUGCUGUGGUGGUCCUCACAUAGAAGAAGUGGAAGGACUAACAACCAGAAUAUACAGCUAUGUACUGGGGCUUUGGGGAGGAAAAAAAAGAAAAAGGAAGAUUGGCAACAGAUGUUAGCUCAGAGCAAAUCUUUCCCAGCAAGAAGAAAUAAAUAAAAUACUCAUUCAAAACAAAUAGUGCAUCUAAGAUAUUUUCUGAACUUUUCCAUUACCUCAGUUGAAGAAAGAGUGUGGUCUUAAACACAAGGGUCACAGCUCCUGUCCUGUGCCACCUGCCCACAAAGCCUGUGAUUGUUAAGGAAUGAACACUUGCAUAACUGUAAAAAAUUUUGCAUCAGCUUAAAUUGCAAGAUUGAAGAUAGGAUGAGUCCUCAGGCAUUUGGAUUCUUCUCUUUUUCUUUUAUCAUUUUCUUUGAAUUGCAAAGAAUAAUUAUUAGUUCAAGUCAGUCUCUUAAAAAAUUGUAUGCAUCAAUCACGAGCAAGACUUAAUCCGCUUGCUCAGUGCAAUCCGGUAAGAAAUUUACACACCCACCUAUUCUCAGCAUCGUACUGCACUGGGUAAAUAGCAAGAAUUUCCGCUUCUUCAUUAUUCCCAGAUGGUGCUGGCUGAUCCUAUCCCUGACAGCCACACACGUGUUCCGGUAGAAGCACAGCUUGGUUAUAUAAUCCUGUCUUGUGACCUCUAAAUCACAUGCUCUGCGUCUGCACCCAUUCAAGCUGCGGUUACCAUCCUCCUGUUGUUUCAGACAUGUCUUUGUGUUGCUGCCCUGCGGGUCUGAAGGUGGUGCCGUUAUGUGGAGCUCCAGGUGUGCCGGUGGGAUGGAAGGAUCAGGUGGUGUGGGCCUUCUCUGCCCCUCAGCACACACCUGAAUCAGCUUUUUAUUUGCCAUGACUACAUGCAAGGUCCAGUCGCAUCUGUAGCGUUGCUCCCGCCAAACAAACUAGCAGGGGUUGUGGUCUCUCGGGUUACACUUUUCUUCCCCAGGGGUUCUGGAUUUGAGAAGCCUGUGGAGAGUAGACCAUGGCUCCUCGAUGCUGCUGCUGAAACUGCUCAAAAGCCGGAGAUGGCAGUAAUGAUGACAUUAAUUGUGGCAAAGAUGGUAAUUUAUGACUGUAAUAGUGAGAUAUUAAGAGUACUAAUGAUGGGGACGGCCCUGUGGCACGCUUCACUUCGGCGGCCUGGGUUUCCGCUGGUUUGGAUCCCGGGUGCAGACAUGACACUGCUCAUCAAGCAUGCUGAGGCGGCGUCCCACAUAGCAGAGCCAGAGGCACUCACAACUAGGAUAUACAGCUAUGUACUGGGGGAGCUUUGGGGAGAAGAAGAAGAAGAAGAAAAAAGAAGAUUGGCAACAGGUGUUAGCUCAGGUGCCAACCUUUGAAAAAAAGAAUGCUAAUGCCAAUAGUGAUAAUUAGUAUUAUUCCCUCACUUCCUAAUUAUAGGUACUUUUCUCACUUCCUGUAGGUCUUAUUUAAAAGUCUCCAUCUCGGGGAGGCCCUCGAAGCUCACUUCGUCUGAAGUUUCAUUCCUUCCUCCAGCAUUUUGUAUCUCCUUUCCCAGCUUGUUUAUUCUCCUUAGCAUUUACCACUAUCAGAUAGGCUAUACAUUUUGAGUUAUUUAUUUUGUUUACUGUUUGUGUCCCCCGCUGGAACGUAAGGUCCUUGAGCAGGGACUUCUGUCUCUCUUGAUCAUUUACCACGUCUACAGGGCCCAGAACAGUGCCUGGCAUAUGGCAAGGUUUGAAAUUAUUAGAUGGUCAAUGAGUGAGUGAUAAUAGUUUAUGUUUCUUGAACACUUACUGUAUCCUAGAUACUGUGCUGAAUGCCUCACCUAGAUGGCCUCAUUUCAACCCUUGACUCUUGCCCCAUGCAGCCCCUCCUAAUUAUUACUCUGUCUCAAGCAUCUUCUCUCAUCCAGACUUCUUUGGAGAAGCGCCUACACUUGGUUCCUCAGCUCCCAGGCACUGCUCUCCCCACUGCUGUCCGGCUUCCUCGCUGCUGCUGUGUGCACUGUUCUCUAGUCGGUUACCAGUGACUUCCUGAUCGCCGGAUCAAGCAAUAUAAUUUUAGCCCUUAUGUUACUGAUCUUUUCAGUUCAGUUGUCCGUCACUCCCGCCUUCUGGAAGCUCAUUUCUUGUCACCUCUGGUGACACCUCCUGGGUUUUUCUGUCUGAUGUUUCCUUUUUUGUCCCCAUCAUGAGCAUGUUCAGGCCUGUCCCGUGAGUGCUAACAUGCCUGCUUUUGUCACCCACUCACUGCUCUCCUUAUUCUGUGUACACUCCCAAAGCCACCUCCUCCAUUCUGCUCACUCCGCCUGCACCCUGAUGUUUGUAGCACCCAAGUCUCUCUCUAACCCUUGUUUUAUUCUGCCUGCUCUAUGUUUUUGCGUGGACAUCUAAGGCCAUCCCACAUUCAGUUUAUUCAAAACCUAGCUUUCCCCAUAACCUGCUUAGUAUAUGCCUGUAUUCUCUGCCCAAUUGAUGACACCGCAGUUCAGCCAGUGACCCAAGCUGCAAACCAGGGAUCCAGCGCUCUUCUUCCGGCAGGAAGCUCCGGUCCGUCUGCUCCGCUCCCUGCCUGCUGUGACUCCCUGGUCCGAGCCCUCAGGUGCUCAUCCAGACCACGACUGCAGCAGCCUCCUAACUGUUCUCCUGCUCCCUGUCUUGUCCUCCUCAGAUCCAUCCUCCACGUAGCUGUGAGCUCUCACUAACGUGACCAAGGCACCGACUGCUGCCGGGGCCUUGCCGUGCUUCCCCUCCCAGGGAACACACGGGCACGUUCACCAGGGUUUCCGGUGCCUUGACCAAGAUCCGCUUUCACAGGGGCUUUUGGCUGGUUCCGAAAGCACACCUGAUCCACAGUGGGCGUGUGUUCCUAAGAUCGACCAGGGCAGAAGCCUCUGGAAAGAGAUACAAAUACGUGAGAAUUGCAAUCAUUGGAAAAUAGCGAGGCCUAACAUAUUACCAAAAAAAGUUACGCAAGAAAGUAUUUACAAGACAAAAUAGGAAAGAAAUUACAAAAUGGGAAAGAAAUUACAAAACUCAGACCAAAAAAAAAAAGAACUGUAUGUGAAGGGAGCUCAGGUAAUAAAGAGGAAGGGCAGGCCCUAAGUGUGACGGUGACGUUGCUGGGACUUGCCAGCAGGGGGCAGGCCAGAGCAGCGACCCUUUUAUUGGCAUAGUGUUUUGGAUUUUUAAAAAUUUUAUUAUUUAUUUAUUUAUUCUUUGUUUUUAAUUUUCCUUCUUCUCCCCAAAGGUCCCCAGUACAUAGUUAUGUAUUCUGGUUGUGGGUCCUUCUGGUUGUGCCAUGUGGGACGCCGCCUCAGCAUGGCCUGAUGAGCGGUGCCAUGUCUGCGCCCAGGAUCCGAACUGGUGAAAUCCUGGGCCACCAAAGCAGGGCACGCAAACUUAACCACUCGGCCAGGGGGCCAACCCAGCCCCUUCGCAUAGUGUUUUUUUAAGAUUCAUUGUAAAACAGAAAAGUAAAGGAGAAAACAAAAAUAACCUAUAAUUCCACUAACCAAAAUAACCACUCUUAUUUCCUCUUAGAUUUUUUAUAUAUAUAUAGUUGAGAUGAUGCUAUUUAUGCAGUUUUUACCCUGACUUUAUAUCACAGGCAUAUCAUAAUGCUCUUCAAAACUUCGUGAACUUUUAUUUUAAUCGCUCUCUAAUGCUCCAUCGUAUUCUUUUUGUUUUUUUCUGCUUUGUCUCCCCAAAUCCCUGGUACAUAGUUGUGUAUUUUAGUUGCAGGUCCUUCCAGUUGUGGCAUAUGGGACGCCGUCUCAACGUGCCUGAUGAGCAGUGCCAUGUCCGCGCCCAGGAUCCGAACCAGCGAAACCCUGGGCCGCCACAGCAGAGCACGCGAACUUAACCACUCGGCCAUGGGGUGGCCCCUCCAUCAUAUUCUUGUCCAUGUUUAUCCUCAUGUUGUCAUUUUUCGGUUUUUUUGUUUUGUUAAGAUAAGAUGUAGAUAGGAUAUCUCUGAAGCUUUGUCACAUUCGACUGGAAGCAAAGGCUACUGGAUCUGAUGGCCAGAAGGUCGGGCUGGGCCAGGGGUGGAGACCGUGGCGGCCUGAACAGGUCCGUGCUCUGUUGGAUGUGUUGAGUGUGAAGAGAAAGAAAGACAUGAGGAAGUAGUUUGAUGCGGUAGAUUUUUUAGAGUGUAUGUUUACACACGUGGGGCAGGAUCCAGUGGUGGGGAGAAAACCGGAGCAGAGAGGGGGAAGGCUCAUUGAUGAGCGGGUCCUGCGGGAGACGGGGGAAGAGGCACUGACAGCCCUCGGGGAGGCUGAGCUCUGGAAUGCAGAGGAAGAUGUAGAAAGGAAGAAAGGAUGGCGAUCAAGAGAAAGUUUCAGUGGAACCCGCGUCCUCGUCUCAUUUACAACACCAGUAUUUGGAGCUGUGGGGUUGGCGGAACAUGUAUGUUACAUUUUCUAUGAUAAAAUAAUGUUAACCUACAUUUGGUAGCCUUUAGGCUUUUUAUAAGCCAGCAAGGGUGUGGAGUGAACCAUUAGAAACAGUGAUGUGAUUUUUAUUGAGAAGAAACGAGGUGAAAGUGAGGGCUGGCCUCCGACCUCAGCUGUGACUGAGGAUUAGCUUAGCGUGUGUGACGAAGGCCUGUCUUAGAGCGUCCCCAGAGUUUUAGCUCCUGUGACCAUCCCCGAGCGAGGGACUUGACUUGAUAACACGGACAGGCGGUGGCGUUCCUGAGAAACACCAGGGAACAGUUACAUCUUUAGCUCCCCAGGUUCUGCCACGGCGCGUUUUCUGGCCUGAACAUAUCGACCUGAGCCUAAGUGCAGACACUUCAGCCAGCCUCCUGGUUAAGCUAUGUCGUUUUUUUCCUCUUCCGAGUCUCCAGAAGGCCCAGAACAUACUCUGGGGUCAGUGGUUUCGUGGGGGCACUUGAAACAACAUAAACAAUACAGUGAUGGUGAUUAACUCUGUGUGGGAUGUACCGCUUCAGAUGCCUUCACAGAGCAGAGAGGCAGCAGAGCUUUGCUACCAGCACAGACUCCGGAAUCAGACAUCCUGGAUUCAGACACUCUCUGUGUGACCUGGGAGUUCAUUCUGGUUCCUCUAAGCCUUAGCUUUCUCGCCUCUAAAGUGAAAGUCCCGCCACCCACCACAGAGGAACCUGUCACAACGAUUAAACGAGAGAACCCGUGUCUGUUCAUUCAGCAAGUGUUUGUGAACACCUCUGUGCCUGGCCCUGAACAGCCUAGACGAAAACUUCAGACUUGUAGCUGGAGAGACAGACCGUAAGAACUGGCUGUGAGGGGCUGGCCCGGUGGUGUAGUGGCUAAGUUUGCGUGCUCUGGUUUGGCAGCCUGGGGUUCACAGGUUCAGAUCCCUGGCACGGACCUGUGUACCACUUUUCAAGCCACGCUGUGGCAGCAUCCCACAUAAAAUAGAGGAAGAUGGACACAGAUGUUAGCUCAGGGCCAAUCUUCCUCACACACACACACAAAAAACAAAAACUGGCUCGGUGUGUGAAGCAUUAGAUGGUGAUGAGCGCUGGGAAGAAGAUACAGCAGGGAGGGGCAGGGGGCAGAGCCGGGCAGGGGACUCGUGGUGCCACCUGAGCACAGAAGCACAUAUGCUGUGAGGGGAGGGCGGGCGGCCCUCUGGGUGGACAUUCCAGGCAGCGUGGACGCAGUGGUACCAGCCUGAGGAGGCCUUGCGUCUGCCGGGUGAGAGGAAGGGGAAGGAAGCCACUGUGGCCACAAGUGAGUAAGCGAGGCGGGAGGGUGGGACGUGAGGCAGAAAGGUGGGUUUGGGGGCCGAGUCACGCAGGCCCUUUGGGGCCUUUUCACUCGGGGAGAAGGAGGAGGCCAUAUGCGCGUUCUGAGCAGAAGAGUGAUUAAAUCAGACCCAGUUUUUAACAGGGUCAUUCUGAGUGUUGGGUGGAAGCAAAGAGCCCAGUUAGGAGGCCAUUGCUACACUUUAUGUGAGAUGUGAUGGGAACUUGGACCAGGGUGAUGAGGCAGAGGUGGGAGAAGGUAUAGGGUGUGUUUUGAAGGUAAAUCGACAGGAUUUGGAUGCCAGGUGUGAGAGAAAUAGAAAAAGUGCAAUCUCCGGGCCUGAGCAUACGGAAGGAUAGAAUUGCCACUUACUGGGUCAUGACAGACAGUGGGGAGCAAGCUGUCGGGGAAGGUCAGGGGUUUGGGUUCAGACGUUUGUUGAGCAAAUUGCCCAUUAGACACCCGAGUGGGAGUCCAGGAGGCAGUGGGUGAGGUCUGGAGUUCACACAGGGUCCAGGCUGCAGGUGUCUGGGAGUUUGCAUUUCUAACAAGCUCCCUGGGGACGCAGAUGUGGGUGCUGCUGUGUGGAGCCCACGUUUUGAGAAGCACUGGAAUAGGGAAAUACGGUGGGACUGGCAGGCCACCUGAGAGAGGCGCUGAGGUUCCAUGUCCUGCCGUUCUGUCCAGCCGUAGCCAGCUGCUCAGGAUCAGGUCCAGAGCAGGCGCAAGGUUAGAUUGCACCACGAUAGGGGUGAAAUUAUUCCAGGUAAAUAGAGCAAAGGGUUACUCAGCACAGCGUCUAGUACGUGGUACCUGCCCCAAACCUAAGUUACUACCCAGCACCAGCCUGCCCUUAGGAUCCUGCCUCCCAGCGGACAGAGGACCCUCUCCCCGGCUCUGGGCCCCCACACCUGAGUCUGGCUUUAUGACCUUGGGCGAGUUUCUCAGCAUCUCCAAGCUUUCGUCUCUUCAUCUGUAAGAUGACCCACUAACCACCCUGCUUCAUAGAGUUUUGGGGAACUUUACCCGAGAGUCUGCAUGCGAACCGCUCAGUACAAGUCCGUCACACAGGAGCGGCAGACGUCAACAAUCCUCAGAGGCCCGCAGAGGAGGAGGUGCUGGAUGCAAAUGAGCUCUUGGCGUAAAUCUGUCCACCGAAGCCCACAGCCGGCAGAGUCUUCCAGAUUCACGGUACUUCCAUCCCAUUAGCCAAAGCAAAUCCCAUGGCCAAGUGCAGCCCCAGUGUGAGAGGGCCCCACCCAGUGCCUGGACGCAGAGAGGCCAUUGAUUGGCACCAGCCGUGAAUUCCUGUGGUUGGGUAAAAUCUCACCCCAGAAUUUAGCAGUGUAAAACCACCAGUUAUCACGGUCAUGGGUUCUGAGGGUCAGGAGCCCUGGCCCGGCACGACAGGGGCAGCUCCUCCCUGCUCCACGGUGACUGGGGUCUCAGCCCGAAGACUGGAAAGCUGGACUCAUUCGAGGGCUCCUUCCUGCCUGCGUCUGGCAGUCCGUG
Molecule: long non-coding RNA, 7728 nt
Organism: Equus asinus (donkey)
Lineage: Eukaryota; Metazoa; Chordata; Mammalia; Perissodactyla; Equidae
Source: Ensembl